This is a long non-coding RNA of Dendronephthya gigantea, 493 nucleotides long. RefSeq lists it as uncharacterized. The record is from RefSeq and is a predicted model, not a curated record. The transcript is spliced from 3 exons. NCBI's taxonomy places the organism in Eukaryota, Metazoa, Cnidaria, Anthozoa, Malacalcyonacea, Nephtheidae.
AAAGCGGUGGAAAUUGCGGUGAAGAGAGCCGAAAUUGCGGUGAAGAGCGGUUGAAAUUUCUUAUUUUUUUUGCUUGUUUAAAGACACGGCUUCUGCGCGUGCGCCAGCCUGGGGACUCCACCCGAAGUUGAUAAUCCCCCGGAUUGUUCAGUCUAAAAACCAUGACCAGCCGACAAUUUAAGAAAGAAAUUCUCAAUCUUUCAAGAGCACUGAGUCAUGUCGUCGAGUAGAAAAGAAUAUUAUGCUAGUAAAGAUGCCUCUUAAGUGUAUUUGUUGGGUUCUUUCCCUCGAUGGAGAGCGUUUAAGGAGCAGCAUAAAUUGAGAACAGACAAGGAUGUGGCGGAUAUGCUUCUUGACAGCUAUCUUGCGAUGAAUCGUAAGUUUGCAAUGCAGAGACGCAAACCGAAACGGUCAUGGAAUCAACGGAUAUGCCGCCAGUUAAAACCUCAACGCCAAGCGCGCACUCAAUCCGCGUCCAUUGUCUGCUUUGUCG